This 395-nucleotide ribosomal RNA is filed under the name uncultured bacterium. RNAcentral's name for it is "bacterial SSU rRNA". It matches the Rfam family "Bacterial small subunit ribosomal RNA", at positions 355 to 767 of the family's 1533-position model. The record is from RNAcentral.
UCGGGAAUUUUGGGCAAUGGGCGAAAGCCUGACCCAGCAACGCCGCGUGAGGGAUGAAGUAUUUCGGUAUGUAAACCUCGAAAGAAUGGGAAGAAUAAAUGACGGUACCAUUUAUAAGCUCCGGCUAACCACGUGCCAGCAGCCGCGGUAAUACGUAGGGAGCAAGCGUUGUUCGGAUUUACUGGGCGUAAAGGGCGCGUAGGCGGCGCGGUAAGUCACUUGUGAAAUCUCUGAGCUUAACUCAGAACGGCCAAGUGAUACUGCUGUGCUAGAGUGCGGAAGAGGCAACCGGAAUUCUUGGUGUAGCGGUGAAAUGCGUAGAUAUCAAGGGGAACACCGGAGACGAAGGCGGGUUGCUGGGCCGACACUGACGCUGAUGCGCGAAAGCCAGGGGA